Molecule: ribosomal RNA, 513 nt
Filed under: uncultured bacterium
Lineage: Bacteria
Description: bacterial SSU rRNA
Rfam family: Bacterial small subunit ribosomal RNA
Source: RNAcentral
UCCUGGCUCAGGAUGAACGCUAGCUACAGGCUUAACACAUGCAAGUCGAGGGGCAGCAGGGCAAUAGCUUGCUAUUGUUGCUGGCGACCGGCGCACGGGUGAGUAACGCGUAUCCAACCUACCCCGCGGUCAGGGACAGCCCGGCGAAAGUCGGAUUAAUACCUGAUGCAGUCAGAAGAGGGCAUCUGAUUUUGACGAAAGAUUGAUCGCCUCGGGAUGGGGAUGCGUAGGAUUAGGCAGGCGGCGGGGUAACGGCCCACCGCGCCGACGAUCCUUAGGGGUUCUGAGAGGAAGGUCCCCCACACUGGUACUGAGACACGGACCAGACUCCUACGGGAGGCAGCAGUGAGGAAUAUUGGUCAAUGGGCGCGAGCCUGAACCAGCCAAGUAGCGUGCCAGGACGACGGCCCUAUGGGUUGUAAACUGCUUUUAUGCGGGGAUAAAGUGCGGCACGUGUGCCGUUUUGUAGGUACCGCAUGAAUAAGGACCGGCUAAUUCCGUGCCAGCAGCAGC